AAAUGCUCCAAUCACAUUUAAUUUUACUAUAAAAAAAAAUCAUGUACUUUGAUAUAUGUCAAAACAACUUCUGAUAACACACCAGAAUUUGUAGUUCUCUUUGAAGCCUCAUUCAUCUUAGGUAUAGUCAAGACCUAGGAAAGCUUUACAUGUCGUUCCUUUUAUAGUUGUAUUUCUGCAUCUCCCAGUUUCAUUCACUCUUGCUUUAUGGAUUUUUUAAAAAUCUGCAUAUUUCUUGUACAUAUGCAUGCAAAUGAAAGAAGGGAGUUUGUAUUGGUGCCAUUUCUCCCUUCAGUUACUCUGGUUAAUGGGAUUUGCUAGAAUAAACUCCCCCUGAUUGAAGGGUGAAAAUAAACCCUUUUGUGUAUAUCUGUACAGAGAUGUGUAUAUGGGAUGUGGUGGCACUUUGCUGAAUGUGAACUUGCCUUGUCAAUGGAAAGAUUGAAAAGUAUUAUGUUUAUUUAUACAUUUGUAUAAAUCUAUAUAUACACGUAUGUAUAUGUGUGUGUAUAGAUAAAGCUAUAUACAUAUAUUUCCCUAAAAAAUGUGUGUGUGUAAUAGAUAAACAGCCUUUGUUAAAGCAAGAUUAUACGUCGAUGGAAAACUCGAUGAUUCUGUAAGCAAGAGGAGGUGACAGCCUAGAGCACACCAUCGGUGCAUACGAAGAUGGGAGUCCUUUGGAUUAUAGUCUUGUUUAUGGUUAUUAUAAUUGAAUUCCUGCUAGAACUCUUACCAGUUCCAUUGUUCUUCAUCUUCACUGCCUUCUAAAUCAAUCUCAUCACACUUCAUUGUAUUUCCCCCCCUUUAUUAUGUCCUUCCUAGCCGAAAGCAUUUGGCUUAAGCAUAAUUCAUUAACUUCUCAGUCAUUUCUUUUAAAGAUCUUUAUCUCUGAAAUUUUCCUGAAGAUGUAGAUUUUGGUAAUAGUUUGUCUAGUAAUUUUGAGGAUUGGGGUUCCUCGUCCUGGGAAGCCAAACCCAGGGCCCUGUGCACCGUCCUGCCAGAGGAGGGCGGGAGCGUGCGGUGGCCCCAGGCCCAGCAGGACACCAGAUCCCCCCUCACAGCACCCCACCACCGCUGCGCCCACUGAUCACAUUCGAGCUUCUUUUCCUCCUUUUCUUUUUGGAUGGGUUUCUGCCCCCCAUCCUGAGUGCUCCCAGGCUAGUUUGUCUGCCUUUGGGGAGCCAGCUCUCAUAGGAUGG
This 1199-nucleotide long non-coding RNA is filed under the name Canis lupus familiaris (dog). RNAcentral's name for it is "lncRNA (ENSCAFG00805019019.1, ENSCAFG00845020314.1)". The record is from RNAcentral. Lineage: Eukaryota; Metazoa; Chordata; Mammalia; Carnivora; Canidae.